CCAGACUCCUACGGGAGGCAGCAGUGGGGGAUAUUGCACAAUGGGGGAAACCCUGAUGCAGCGACGCCGCGUGAGUGAAGAAGUAAUUCGUUACGUAAAGCUCUAUCAGCAGGGAAGAAAAUGACGGUACCUGACUAAGAAGCCCCGGCUAACUACGUGCCAGCAGCCGCGGUAAUACGUAGGGGGCAAGCGUUAUCCGGAUUUACUGGGUGUAAAGGGAGCGUAGACGGCAUGGCAAGUCAGAUGUGAAAGCCCGGGGCUCAACCCCGGGACUGCAUUUGAAACUGUCAGGCUGGAGUGCAGGAGAGGUAAGUGGAAUUCCUAGUGUAGCGGUGAAAUGCGUAGAUAUUAGGGGGAACACCGGUGGCGAAGGCGGCCUGCUGGACGACGACUGACGCUGAGGCUCGAAAGCGUGGGGAGCAAACAGGAUUAGAUACCCCGGUAC
Molecule: ribosomal RNA, 445 nt
Filed under: uncultured bacterium
Lineage: Bacteria
Description: bacterial SSU rRNA
Rfam family: Bacterial small subunit ribosomal RNA
Source: RNAcentral